UACAGAGGUGGCAAGCGUUGUUCGGAAUUACUGGGCGUAAAGCGCGUGUAGGCGGCUCUUCAAGUCAGGCGUGAAAGCCCCGGGCUCAACUCGGGAACUGCGCUUGAUACUGUCGAGCUAGAGUGUGGAAGGGGCGAUUGGAAUUCCGUGUGUAGCGGUGAAAUGCGUAGAGAUGUGGAGGAAUACCGAUGGCGAAGGCAGCCCCCUGGGCCAAUACUGACGCUCAUGCACGAAAGCGUGGGGAGCAAACAGG
RNAcentral lists this ribosomal RNA (253 nucleotides) under uncultured bacterium. RNAcentral's name for it is "partial 16S ribosomal RNA". It matches the Rfam family "Bacterial small subunit ribosomal RNA", at positions 524 to 776 of the family's 1533-position model. The record is from RNAcentral.